This 364-nucleotide ribosomal RNA is filed under the name uncultured Methanosaeta sp. RNAcentral's name for it is "bacterial SSU rRNA". It matches the Rfam family "Archaeal small subunit ribosomal RNA", at positions 976 to 1338 of the family's 1478-position model. Lineage: Archaea; Methanobacteriati; Methanobacteriota; Methanomicrobia; Methanotrichales; Methanotrichaceae. The record is from RNAcentral.
UUAGCUGAGAGGUGGUGCAUGGCCGUCGUCAGUUCGUACUGUGAAGCAUCCUGUUAAGUCAGGCAACGAGCGAGACCCACGCCCACAGUUGCCAGCGUACUCUCUGGAGUGACGGGUACACUGUGGGGGACCGCCGCUGCUAAAGCGGAGGAAGGAAUGGGCAACGGUAGGUCAGUAUGCCCCGAAUAUCCCGGGCUACACGCGAGCUACAAUGGUUGGUACAAUGGGUAUCUACCCCGAAAGGGGACGGGAAUCUCCUAAAACCAAUCUUAGUUCGGAUUGAGGGCUGUAACUCGCCCUCAUGAAGCUGGAAUCUCUAGUAAUCGCGUGUCAUUAUCGCGCGGUGAAUACGUCCCUGCUCCUU